GCGGCGAGAGGCGGGCGGGCGCCGGGAGCGGGAGGAGGAGCGGCAGCCGCCGCCACCGCCGCCGCCAUAGAGACUGUAGCCGUGGAGACUGUUACUUACCAACGGGGACCAACACGCAGCAGCCGCCACCGCCGCCGCGGGAGCCGUUGCCCGAACUCCCGGCCGGAACUCCAGAACUGAGCAUGCAGAAUUCAGAGGGUGGAUCGGAUUCGCCGGCUUCCGUGGCUCUGUGUCCCUCGUCAGCAGCCCAGGCGCCUGUGGCCCAGCCUGUGCCAGCCUCGCCACAGAGGGUGUUGGUCCAGGCAGCAGGCUCGGCUCCCAAGGGGGCUCAGAUGCAGCCCAUCUCCCUCCCCAGAGUGCAGCAGGUGCCACAGCAGGUCCAGCCCGUGCAGCACGUGUAUCCCCCCCAGGUGCAGUACGUGGAAGGGGGGGAAGCCGUCUACACCAACGGAGCCUUGCGGACGGCGUAUGCCUACAACCCCGAACCCCAGAUGUACGCCCCCAGCAGCUCCGCGUCGUACUUCGAGGCCCCGGGCGGUGCCCAGGUGACCGUGGCAGGCUCCUCCCCGACGGCAGUCCCCGCCCACAGCAUGGUGGGCAUCACCAUGGAUGUCGGGGGCAGCCCCAUCGUCUCCGGCACGGGAGCCUACCUCAUCCACGGGGGCAUGGACGGCACCCGGCACUCCCUGGCGCACACAUCCCGCUCAUCACCCGCUACGCUUGAAAUGGCGAUUGAAAACCUCCAAAAAAGCGAAGGGAUCACAUCACACAAAAGCGGUUUACUCAACAGUCAUCUCCAGUGGCUCUUGGAUAAUUACGAAACCGCAGAAGGCGUGAGUCUCCCCAGAAGUUCGCUCUACAACCACUACCUUCGCCACUGCCAGGAACACAAGCUGGACCCCGUGAACGCGGCCUCCUUUGGGAAGCUGAUCCGCUCCGUGUUCAUGGGCUUGAGGACGCGGCGGCUGGGUACCAGGGGCAACUCCAAGUAUCAUUACUACGGGAUCCGUCUGAAGCCAGACUCGCCCCUGAACCGGCUGCAGGAGGACACGCAGUACAUGGCCAUGCGGCAGCAGCCUGUGCAUCAGAAGCCCAGGUACCGGCCAGCCCAGAAGACGGACAGCCUUGGGGAGAGCGGCUCGCACGGCAGCCUGCACAGCACACCUGAGCAGGCCAUGGCUGCCCAGAGCCAACACCACCAGCAGUACAUCGAUGUGUCCCACGUCUUUCCGGAGUUCCCGGCGCCCGACCUGGGCAGUGUCCUGCUGCAGGAGAAUAUCACGCUGCACGACAUCAAGGCCCUUCAGCUGGCCUACCGGCGGCACUGCGAGGCCACGUUAGAUGUCGUGAUGAACCUCCAGUUCCACUACGUUGAGAAGCUGUGGCUUUCCUUCUGGAAUUCUAAAGCCUCCUCCGGCGACGGCCCUGCCUCUCUACCUACCAGCGACGAGGAGCCGGAGGGCGCCGUCCUCCCCAAGGACAAGCUGGUAUCUUUGUGCAAGUGCGACCCCGUGCUCAGGUGGAUGAGGACCUGCGACCACAUCCUGUACCAGGCGCUGGUGGAGAUCCUCAUCCCAGACGUGCUGCGGCCCGUGCCCAGUACCCUGACACAGGCCAUCCGCAAUUUUGCCAAGAGCUUGGAAGGCUGGUUGACGAACGCCAUGAGCGACUUCCCACAGCAGGUCAUCCAGACCAAGGUCGGCGUGGUCGGUGCCUUCGCACAGACCCUGCGGCGCUACACGUCGCUCAACCACCUGGCGCAGGCGGCCCGGGCAGUGCUGCAGAACACGGCGCAGAUCAGCCAGAUGCUGAGCGACCUCAACCGCGUGGACUUCGCCAACGUGCAGGAGCAGGCCUCGUGGGUGUGCCAGUGCGAGGAGGGCGUGGUGCAGCGUCUGGAGCAGGACUUCAAGCUGACCCUGCAGCAGCAGAGCUCCCUGGACCAGUGGGCCAGCUGGCUGGACAACGUAGUCACCCAGGUCCUGAAGCAGCACGCGGGCAGCCCCAGCUUCCCGAAGGCUGCGCGGCAGUUCCUGCUGAAAUGGUCCUUCUACAGCUCCAUGGUGAUCCGCGACCUCACGCUGCGCAGCGCCGCCAGCUUUGGCUCCUUCCACCUCAUCCGGCUGCUCUACGACGAGUACAUGUUCUACCUGGUGGAGCACCGCGUCGCCGAGGCCACUGGGGAGACGCCCAUUGCCGUGAUGGGAGAGUUCAACGAUCUUGCCUCCCUGUCGCUGACACUGCUCGACAAAGUCUUCCAAGAAAAGCCUGCCAUUGCUCCGCCCGUCUUUGUGUUUCAGAAGGAUAAAGGACAAAAGUCCUCUGCAGAGCAAAAAGACUUGUCGGAUUCGGGAGAGGAGCCUCGGGGGGAGGCUGAGGCCCCCCACCAUGGCACGGGUCACCCCGAGUCAGCUGGUGAGCAUGCCCUAGAGCUUCCUGCCCCCGCUAGCGCUUCAGCCAGCGCUCCUGAAGCCCAGCUUCCUCCUUUUCCACGAGAACUGGCAGGGAGGUCAGCCGGAGGCUCCAGCCCCGAAGGUGGAGAAGAUUCUGACCGAGAAGAUGGAAAUUACUGCCCUCCCGUCAAGCGAGAAAGAACAUCCUCUUUAACGCAAUUCCCGCCUUCACAGUCAGUAUCAAAAAACAAUGUUUUUAUGCCAUCCACCUUCUGCGAGCCAUCUGCAGGCAAUUCUGACUCAGAACCAGAGGAAAAGAGCAGUGGAUUCCGGUUGAAGCCGCCGACCCUGAUCCACGGCCAGGCACCCAGUGCAGGUCUGCCGAGCCAGAAGCCCAAGGAGCAGCAGCGGAGCGUGCUUCGCCCAGCAGUGCUACAAGCCCCGCAGCCAAAGGUGCUCUCACAGACCGUCCCGAGCAGCGGCACCAACGGGGUCAGUGUCCCGGCAGACUGCCCGGGGGCAGCGACAUCGGCUUCGCCUGACAACCCCUCCCGGAGGAGUCCCUCUGACGAGGCACCAGCACUUGAGGAGAAAGACUCGCAGAAAAAUGAGUCCAGCAGUGCUUCUGAGGAGAGCUGCGAGAAGAAGGAGCUUGCACAGCAGGCGUUUGUGUUCGGGCAGAACCUGAGGGACAGAGUUAAGUUAAUAAAUGAGAACGCUGAAGUAGUGGACAUGGAGAACGCCGGACACCCCAGUUCAGAAGCGCCAGCCGCCACCAACUACUUCCUUCAGUACAUCAGCUCCAGUUUAGAGAGCUCAGCCAACAGUGCCGACGCCGCCAGCAGCAAAUUCAUAUUUGGCCAGAACAUGAGUGAGCGCGUGUUGAGCCCGCCCAAGUUAAACGAGGUCAGCCCGGAUGCCAACAGAGAAAACACAGUGGCCGAGUCCGGGUCCGAGUCCUCGUCCCAGGAGGCCACCCCCGAGAAAGCUAAUAACAUUGCAGAGUCGCUGGCCGAGUCGGCGGCCGCCUACACCAAGGCGACAGCGCGGAAGUGCUUGCUGGAAAAGGUGGAGGUGAUCACCGGGGAGGAGGCCGAAAGCAACGUGCUGCAGAUCCAGUGUAAGCUGUUUGUCUUUGACAAGACCUCGCAGUCGUGGGUGGAGAGAGGCCGGGGGCUGCUCAGACUCAACGACAUGGCAUCGACUGACGAUGGGACGUUGCAGUCCCGACUAGUGAUGCGGACCCAGGGCAGCCUGCGGCUGAUCCUCAACACCAAGCUGUGGGCCCAGAUGCAGAUGGACAAGGCCAGUGAGAAGAGCAUCCGCAUCACAGCCAUGGACACGGAGGACCAGGGCGUGAAGGUCUUCCUGAUCUCGGCCAGCUCCAAGGACACGGGCCAGCUGUAUGCGGCCCUGCACCACCGCAUCCUGGCCCUGCGCAGCCACGUGGAGCAGGAGCAGGAGGCCAGGACGCCGGCCCCCGAGCCUGGGGCGGCCCCGUCCAACGAGGACGACAGCGACGACGACGACGUCCUGGCCCCGUCGGGGGCCACCGGAGGCGGCGCUGGCGACGAAGGGGACGGGCAGACGGCCGGGAGCACAUAGCGCCGGGAGCCGGCUGCCCACGAGCCUGCUGCUUUGUCCGUCUGUCUGCCCGCCCGCCCGCCCCUCCCUCCGGCAGCGUCGAGGCGCGGGGCUCGGGAACCACACUCCCCGCUGGGUGGCCACAGUCUGGAUCCGCACGUCCCGUUCAGAAGCAGACUCGGGAACUGCCUGAAUGUGGUUUGGGACACGAACCUCAUCAUAUUGAUGAGCAAAACGAAAAAGAACAUUUCUUCCCUCCCCACCUUGAAUUGAAAUGGCACAUUAAGACUUGUCACGGCUUCUCACUGGGACUGGGACCCCUCGUUUCUUCACCCCACCCUCGUCGUGUCGCCGGCUCUCCCCGCCUCCACCUGCCCGGGCACCGGGUCUGUCCACACAGUGUCACGCUGGGCCUGCUGGACCUUCUGUUACUACUGUCUUUACCUCCCAGCUCCCACGUUCUGAUUUGGGGGGGUUUAUUUUUAGACCUUUUCUUUCCCCCCCAAGGCUUUGUAUUUGGUUUCCUAGAUCGAGGCGCUUCUCUUCUGUGUGUUGAGCAGGCACGGCUCCGUCGUGGGCUGCGUCCUCGUUCCCCCUGUGGCCCCGGCCCCCAUGCUGGGGGUGCUCCCCACCUGGGGUUCCUCCAGGCCAAGUCGUGGGGUGCGGAGGGGUUGGGCCCUGGGCCUGGAGAGCCUAUCUAGAAAAGGGUCACUGGGCAUGGGAGGGCGUGGGAGGGCGUGGGAGGGCUCCCCCCCAUCCUCCUGUCUGUCCCCAUAACAUGGGUCACCCGUCAUCAGGCACCCAGGUGCAAAACCUGCUUCCUGCUGUUGGCCGUUCCUUCCUUGCCCAGCCCUGGACAUCUCUGCCCCCAAGACCGUCGAGGGCUGGGGGCCUCUGUGAGAGGCAGAGGGGGACCCUGGCAGGGCCUUCAAGGAGGGGGCAGCGAGCGGACCGGUUCCAGACAACGGGCAGAACCCAUGCUCGCAGCACACACAGGAGCGGCGCCCUCUGCCCGCCCCACCCCAUAGCGUGGCCAAGAGCCAGCUGGGUGCCGCCCGCCUGGCGGGGCCCGCAGAGGAGGCCUCUGUGCACAGGGCCCUCACAGGGUGAGGGGGAGGCCCGUCUGAGCUGUGCCGCCCACACCUCAGGGUGGCCUGUGCAGCCCGCAUCUGCGUCCGCAGCCUGAGCCACGGGACGACACCAAAGGCCCUCCCAGCAGAUCCGAUCACACUUCUCUGCUUUAAGCCUUAGCCAACUAGUGACAAGUAAAACCAGAUAACGCCCAUGUGUUUUGGAACAUUUAUGUAAGAUUGUCAUAUGAAAUGUAUUUGGGAACUACAUUAAAACUUUUAACUAAAACUCUGGCCUCCCGCAUGCCCCAGGGGCCUCAGGAAGCCAGGCAACCUGGCCAGGAACGGUUCCUCAGCAGCCUGGCUUGCCCCGCACUCCACACCUGGGCAGGUGACCAAGCUCGGCUGCCUUCCAAGACCGGCCGCUCCGUGCAGAGCCUUGCGUCACAGAAGAGCAGUUUGCUUCCCCACCCGGGCGCUGCCUGGCUUCCUGGGGGAGUCACGAGGGAGGGGUGAGGGUGCUGACAGGGUUCACUUGAGCAGACCCAGGAGGAGACCUGGGGUCGGCAUGGCGUGGGCAUGGAGGGUCUCACUCCCUGGGCUCCUGAACCAGUGACCCAUCGUUGGAACCUUUGUCCCACUGACACCUGGUGGCCAAGCCGUGUCCCUGGAGACCUGGUCCAGCCGGUUCUGCGGCCUCAAUCUUCCCACAAUCCCCUCCAUCCCCCACCCCGGGGCUGCUCAGCUCAAAGCCCAGGUCUCAAACAUCACUUGGUGGGCUGGCUCAUUCAUGACAAGCCGCUGAGCCAGGGGCUCCAGUACCGGCCGGAGAAGCGACCCUGACCCCUGACAUCCGUAAUCCAAGAGGAACCAAGGCUGCCAUCACUGAAUGCCUUCUGUCGAGACUUUGGACAUCUUGCCAACCGAGAGCGUUACACCAACAGUCAGGAUUGAAAAUGAUAAUGGAUUUCCCAGGACUAAAAACGUGGGCCCCCGUCUGGGGACGCCACCACCCGCAGAGACCCAGAGAUCAUCAGAAGCUUUUCAAAGCUUGCAGUUGCACACAGCACAGUGGUAUUGUCGAAAGUUGCUGCCACAGUCAGAAGCCAAGCCGUGGAUCACAAGCCACCCGGCGCUGCGAUUCAAGCUACAGCUGAUUGCAACACCAUCAGUUUUAUGAGAAACUGCAGUGGCACUCUGCUGCAGAAAUUCUUGUGGCUUGCUGCAGUCCAAAAUUCUUUACAUAGGCAAAGAAAUACUCCAUUGUGUAUUUUUAUGAGGGUUACAAAUGUUGGAUUUUUUUUUAUAGAUAUAGAAAAAUGUAGAAUGUAACCACAACUAUUGUAGCUCUGUUUGGGCAUCUCCACAUUUUUAAGAGAAUCAGAAUUUCAACAAUAAAAAAUUGGAAGUGGCCAGGGCCCUUCCGACCCAGAGGCCCUUUUCA
This is an RNA transcript of Aethalodelphis obliquidens (Pacific white-sided dolphin), 6491 nucleotides long. It is a transcript of the gene named DNA-binding protein RFX2, with no coding region annotated. The transcript is spliced from 36 exons. The record is from RefSeq and is a predicted model, not a curated record. Lineage: Eukaryota; Metazoa; Chordata; Mammalia; Artiodactyla; Delphinidae.